CUGGCUCAGGACGAACGCUGGCGGCGUGCCUAACACAUGCAAGUCGAGCGGGGACAUUGCGACGGAGGCGAAGUACUCGUACGGAGUCAAAGAUGUAAUGUUCUAGCGGCGGACGGGUGAGUAACGCGUGAGCAACCUGUCCCUUACAGGGGGAUAACACAGCGAAAGUUGUACUAAUACCGCAUAAGACCACAGGAUGACAUCGUCCAGGGGUCAAAGGAGCAAUCCGGUAAGGGGUGGGCUCGCGUCCGAUUAGAUAGUUGGUGAGGUAACGGCCCACCAAGUCGACGAUCGGUAGCCGACCUGAGAGGGUGAUCGGCCACAUUGGGACUGAGACACGGCCCAAACUCCUACGGGAGGCAGCAGUGGGGAAUAUUGGGCAAAUGGGGGAAACCCUGACCCAGCAACGCCGCGCGAGGGAAGAAGGUUUUCGGAUCGUAAACCUCUGUCCCAGGUGAAGAGGAAGAGACGGUAGCCUGGGAGGAAGCCCCGGCUAACUACGUGCCAGCCGCGGC
RNAcentral lists this ribosomal RNA (515 nucleotides) under uncultured bacterium. RNAcentral describes it as "bacterial SSU rRNA". It matches the Rfam family "Bacterial small subunit ribosomal RNA", at positions 19 to 518 of the family's 1533-position model. The record is from RNAcentral.